RNAcentral lists this unclassified non-coding RNA (253 nucleotides) under uncultured Parcubacteria group bacterium. RNAcentral describes it as "contains 16S-23S intergenic spacer region". It matches the Rfam family "Bacterial small subunit ribosomal RNA", at positions 524 to 776 of the family's 1533-position model. The record is from RNAcentral.
UACAGAGGCCCCAAGCGUUACCCGGAAUCACUGGGCGUAAAGCGUGUCUAGGUGGUUUAGUUAGUCUCCUGUUAAAACCUUGGGCUCAACCCAAGGGGUGCGGGGGAAACGGCUAGACUUGAGAAUGCGAGAGGAGAGUGGAACUCAUGGUGUAGGGGUGAAAUCCGUUGAUAUCAUGGGGAACACCAAAGGCGAAGGCAACUCUCUGGCGCAUUUCUGACACUCACACACGAAAGCGUGGGUAGCGAAUGGG